AAGUCGUAACAAGGUUUCCGUAGGUGAACCUGCGGAAGGAUCAUUAAUGAGUUAGGGUCUUUUCUAGGCCCGACCUCCCAACCCUUUGUUUAUCAAACCACUUGUUGCUUCGGCGGGCCCGUCUCACGACCGCCGGGGGACCUAUAGACGGUCCUCUGGCCCGCGCCCGUCGACGGCCAACCAUAAACUCUUGAAUAAUCAUGUUUUAUCGUCUGAGUUAUAACAAAAAUAAAAGCAAAACUUUCAACAACGGAUCUCUUGGUUCUG
This 267-nucleotide unclassified non-coding RNA is filed under the name air metagenome. RNAcentral's name for it is "partial contains small subunit ribosomal RNA, internal transcribed spacer 1, and 5.8S ribosomal RNA". The stretch from base 1 to 46 matches the Rfam family "Eukaryotic small subunit ribosomal RNA", at positions 1786 to 1831 of the family's 1831-position model. The record is from RNAcentral.